AACGAACGCUGGCGGCAUGCCUAACACAUGCAAGUCGAACGAGACCUUCGGGUCUAGUGGCGCACGGGUGCGUAACGCGUGGGAACCUGCCUUUAGGUUCGGAAUAACUCAGAGAAAUUUGAGCUAAUACCGGAUGAUGUCUUCGGACCAAAGAUUUAUCGCCUUUAGAUGGGCCCGCGUUGGAUUAGCUAGUUGGUGGGGUAAAGGCCUACCAAGGCGACGAUCCAUAGCUGGUCUGAGAGGAUGAUCAGCCACACUGGGACUGAGACACGGCCCAGACUCCUACGGAAGGCAGCAGUGGGGAAUAUUGGACAAUGGGCGAAAGCCUGAUCCAGCAAUGCCGCGUGAGUGAUGAAGGCCUUAGGGUUGUAAAGCUCUUUUACCCGAGAUGAUAAUGACAGUAUCGGGAGAAUAAGCUCCGGCUAACUCCG
RNAcentral lists this ribosomal RNA (431 nucleotides) under uncultured bacterium. RNAcentral's name for it is "partial 16S ribosomal RNA". It matches the Rfam family "Bacterial small subunit ribosomal RNA", at positions 29 to 505 of the family's 1533-position model. The record is from RNAcentral.